CAUCCUCUGACACUCCUAGAGAUAGGACGUUCCCCUUCGGGGGACAGAGUGACAGGUGGUGCAUGGUUGUCGUCAGCUCGUGUCGUGAGAUGUUGGGUUAAGUCCCGCAACGAGCGCAACCCUUGUUCUUAGUUGCCAGCAUUCAGUUGGGCACUCUAAGGAGACUGCCGGUGACAAACCGGAGGAAGGUGGGGAUGACGUCAAAUCAUCAUGCCCCUUAUGACCUGGGCUACACACGUGCUACAAUGGAUGGUCCAAGGGCUGCAACACCGCGAGGUUUAGCCAA
Molecule: ribosomal RNA, 286 nt
Filed under: Bacillus sp. 7884-1
Lineage: Bacteria; Bacillati; Bacillota; Bacilli; Caryophanales; Bacillaceae
Description: Bacterial small subunit ribosomal RNA
Rfam family: Bacterial small subunit ribosomal RNA
Source: Rfam by way of RNAcentral